AGUGAACGCUGGCGGUAGGCCUAACACAUGCAAGUCGAACGGCAGCACAGUAAGAGCUUGCUCUUACGGGUGGCGAGUGGCGGACGGGUAAGGAAUACAUCGGAAUCUACUUUUUCGUGGGGGAUAACGUAGGGAAACUUACGCUAAUACCGCAUACGACCUACGGGUGAAAGCAGGGGAUCUUCGGACCUUGCGCGAUUGAAUGAGCCGAUGUCGGAUUAGCUAGUUGGCGGGGUAAAGGCCCACCAAGGCGACGAUCCGUAGCUGGUCUGAGAGGAUGAUCAGCCACACUGGAACUGAGACACGGUCCAGACUCCUACGGGAGGCAGCAGUGGGGAAUAUUGGACAAUGGGCGCAAGCCUGAUCCAGCCAUGCCGCGUGAGUGAAGAAGGCCUUCGGGUUGUAAAGCCCUUUUGUUGGGAAAGAACAGCAGCAGGUUAAUACCCCGCUGUUCCGACGGUACCCAAAGAAUAAGCACCGGCUAACUUCGUG
This 492-nucleotide ribosomal RNA is filed under the name uncultured bacterium. RNAcentral describes it as "partial 16S ribosomal RNA". It matches the Rfam family "Bacterial small subunit ribosomal RNA", at positions 29 to 507 of the family's 1533-position model. The record is from RNAcentral.